This 396-nucleotide ribosomal RNA is filed under the name uncultured bacterium. RNAcentral's name for it is "partial 16S ribosomal RNA". It matches the Rfam family "Bacterial small subunit ribosomal RNA", at positions 523 to 918 of the family's 1533-position model. The record is from RNAcentral.
AUACGUAGGUGGCAAGCGUUAUCCGGAUUUACUGGGUGUAAAGGGCGUGUAGGCGGGACUGCAAGUCAGAUGUGAAAUUCCAGGGCUCAACCCUGGAACUGCAUUUGAAACUGUAGUUCUUGAGUGAUGGAGAGGCAGGCGGAAUUCCGAGUGUAGCGGUGAAAUGCGUAGAUAUUCGGAGGAACACCAGUGGCGAAGGCGGCCUGCUGGACAUUAACUGACGCUGAGGCGCGAAAGCGUGGGGAGCAAACAGGAUUAGAUACCCUGGUAGUCCACGCUGUAAACGAUGGAUACUAGGUGUGGGGGGACUGACCCCUUCCGUGCCGCAGUUAACACAAUAAGUAUCCCACCUGGGGAGUACGAUCGCAAGGUUGAAACUCAAAGGAAUUGACGGGG